This 71-nucleotide transfer RNA is filed under the name Loxodonta africana (African savanna elephant). It matches the Rfam family "tRNA". Rfam says of the family: Transfer RNA (tRNA) molecules are approximately 80 nucleotides in length. Their secondary structure includes four short double-helical elements and three loops (D, anti-codon, and T loops). The record is from Rfam by way of RNAcentral. Lineage: Eukaryota; Metazoa; Chordata; Mammalia; Proboscidea; Elephantidae.
GCAGUGGUGAUUCAGUGGUAGAAUGCCUGCCUUCUAUGCAGGAGACCCAGGUUCAAUUCCCAGACAAUGAG